Molecule: long non-coding RNA, 1881 nt
Filed under: Macaca mulatta (Rhesus monkey)
Lineage: Eukaryota; Metazoa; Chordata; Mammalia; Primates; Cercopithecidae
Description: lncRNA (ENSMMUG00000050396.1)
Source: RNAcentral
CCCUUCCUGCAUUACUCUCCAAACUGCAUUGCCUCAGGCUGGUAGGAAGCAACAGACGAACCCAGAGUGAGGGAGCGUCUACAAAACACCUGCCUCAAAAGUGUCACAGUCACGAAUGACAGGGAAAGACCAGGAAACCCACAGGCUGGGGAAGACUUCAGAGGCACAAGAGCAGGAUGCGCUGUGGGUCCUGGGGGAGCGCGGACAUUCGUGGAUAAUGGUGAAAUCUGAAGGAAGUCUGUUGUUUCGGUGACAACAUUGUACUCACGUUAAUUUCUCGGUUUUAAUAUUGUCCUUUGGGGAUGUGAGAUAAUAACAUCAGGGGAGCUCACGUGAAGAGUUUAUGGACAAUCCCUAGUAUGUUUGCAUUCUUUUGUGUAAAUCUAAAAUGAUUUUAAGGUAAAAAGUGUUUUUGUUUUUGUUCUGCUUUUGUUCUACUCAGGAGGCAGAGGCAGGAGAAUCGCCUGAACCCAAGAGGCGGAGGUUGCGCUAAGCCGAGACUGCCCCAUUGCCUGGGCAACAAGAGCGAAACUCUGUCUCAAAAAAAGAAAAAAAAAAAGCUUUUGUUAAAGCAUUUACAGUCCAUCACCUUAAGUGCAAGCACAUCGCUUGUAGCAUCGCUGAGAACUCCGCAAGGAUUAAAAACCAACAAAAAAGGAUGCAAAUGGCUUACUAGAAGAGAUUUACUAGUGGCGGGGGGAUUCAGUGAAUCCACUAUCUACUCUGAAAGAAAGAUGCUCUUCCAACCUCUCCUCUGUUGACUGAAAUCCACAGAUGUCGGAGCCAGCCCUGUGCAGUGCGGAUAUAGCCCCCAAAAUACAAAAUACUGGAGUCCCUGUGGUAAGGACGCAAGCAGUAGCCAUCAGAGAUGCUUUGAAUAAUCAACGUUCCACUAACACAGAAGUAAGUGAACGAUAAGCAAUGUAAACACAUAAAGACAGCCAGAAAUUGAAAAAUAAGCGCAAACAAUGGGAAGCGAAAUAAGAAAAAAGAAAAGUAAAGAGAACUAAAGGAUUUGGGUUUCUUUCAGGCUAUUUUUAUGACUGUUUCUUGAAAUCUAGCUAUAUUUUUGAAAGGGAAGUGGGAGGGAAUUUACAUUGACUCCCUGUACUCCAGAUUUUUUUUUUUUUUUACUUCUCCAAUUUAACCCUGCACCACUGUGCUCAAACAAGGAAACUGAGGCUCCAGAAGCCAAACAGCUAGAAAAUGAUAGAGUUGGACUAAAACAAAGGGCUGUUUCUUGGAUUUGGAAGUUCAUCUUCUUUCCAUCAGAUCACAUUGAUAUACCUCUCAUGAGCUAGUUGUUUGAUGAUCAAAUGAGAUUUCAUUCUUGUGUUUACAUGGAUGGGAAGGGUAUGUAAAGAAACCAGUCAUGUGGGUCCUCUGAAUUCAUUUUGAAAUCUUUAAGCCUGCUUUGCUCUGUGAUUUUGCUUCACUAUUGGUCUUUGCACUGUUGAAAGCACAUGCAUUUCUUUCUAUCCAACAAGCGCAGUAAUAUUUAUUAACAUGCCUAUUUUCCAGUAAGCUAUUAGCACAUUUAAAGUAAAAACUUUAACGUCCUUUUCACUUAAUACCAAGUAGCAACUGAAGACUUAAAUGGGUUUGUUGUUUCUGCAUUCAGCCCACAAUGAUUGAUAUUUACCCUUUGGGAGCCACCUUUGCAACCAUGACUUAUGGUGUCAUCUUUCAUUAAGCAUUUAGGAAUAAGAUUUAGUAAUGAUUAUAUUUCAACAUUUUAAAUGAUUAAGACAAAUAUUGCUACUGUUUUGUUUCUAAAGAUUGAUGAAGAAUUUGAUAGUCAGUAUAUCACGCAGUCUGCAUAUAUAAAUGUAAUGUCCUUAAUAGACAAUAUUUGGUAUAAAAUUUAGUUCCAUGUUGAAG